Molecule: long non-coding RNA, 1181 nt
Filed under: Triticum aestivum (bread wheat)
Lineage: Eukaryota; Viridiplantae; Streptophyta; Magnoliopsida; Poales; Poaceae
Description: long non-coding RNA (TAES_LNC009062)
Source: RNAcentral
GGAGACCUUACAAUUCAUCAACACCCAUACCUUGGUCACUGACGAAGCAGGUCAGAUGGAAAAGGGCAGCAAAAUCUCCUUCAACUUACACUUUUUCGUCUUUAUGUGUAACAAAACUCCCUCUUUAUUACUCUUGUGCUACUCUAGUAUUUCAGUUUCUGCACCUGCAAAAAGUGGGGAUAUUGUUAGGAGGAUAUUCAUGGUUCACUCUAGAGUUCUUUGGGUGCGUUUGGAACAGCUUAGUCUUGUGCAAAAGCUAGCUGCCUACAUAAGCUCUAGAUAAGCCGCAGUAAGAAUAAAAUGGGGGGUGUUUAGAGCUGUAUGUUUGGAACGGCUUAUGAAUUUGGGUUUAUUGACAUUGAAAUUUAGUUGUACUCCUGGAACUUUCAAUUACCACAGUACCAAAUGUACAACACGCUACUGUAUACUUGCCAUUUCUGAACUUUAACAAUCAUUAGUUUGAAUGAACACUUGGGCAAAAAAAUCACAAUUUUUAGCACUCCAGGAUCCAUGACCUAAGUAGUAACCACAAUCCACAAACCAUGACCAUCGAAACAAGCUUUAUGUAGCUAGAGUUCUGGACGUAGGUAUUCAAAUAAAUCAUAUUUAUUUUUACCAGCUAGUAAAGCAUGUGCAAAUCCAAAUUCUGAAAUGUAUAAUUAUUAAACAUUUGCACUAACUGAAACUUCCAUAAACAAACAAAUGCACUCAGGUUGGUUCGAGCUGUCUGCAACGGACGAAGCACAAACAAAUAUCUAAUUUGGAACGCGAAUAUGUUCUUAAGGCAUAAUAAACUGCUAAUCGCACAUCAUUCAUUAUUUUUGUAUUUUUUCUGCUCCCUUAUACACAUAAUUUAGAGAAAAAAACUGAUCUAUGUAGUUCCUUCUCAAUAUGCAAUUAUUUAGAGUGAAAUGACGAACUGCUCUAUCUCAUCUAAGAAAUAACACACUAAUUUAAUUGCGUGAAAAUAAUACAUGGAGGGAAGUUGCCGACGACGUUGCUGAUCCCGCUACAUGAGUGACUCCUGCUCAGGGCAGUGGUGGCGGCCUACAGGCAAGCUCGGGACAGGGUGGGACGAGUUGUGCAUUAUCGUACGCGGCGGCCAGGCUAUGUGUCGAGCACCUUGCGUGCAGUGGUGGUGUCCUGUGGACGAGCACAGUGCAGCAGCGGGAUGAGCUUAC